UGCUUCUCUUGAGAGCGGCGGACGGGUGAGUAAUGCCUAGGAAUCUGCCUGGUAGUGGGGGAUAACGUCCGGAAACGGACGCUAAUACCGCAUACGUCCUACGGGAGAAAGCAGGGGACCUUCGGGCCUUGCGCUAUCAGAUGAGCCUAGGUCGGAUUAGCUAGUUGGUGGGGUAAUGGCUCACCAAGGCGACGAUCCGUAACUGGUCUGAGAGGAUGAUCAGUCACACUGGAACUGAGACACGGUCCAGACUCCUACGGGAGGCAGCAGUGGGGAAUAUUGGACAAUGGGCGAAAGCCUGAUCCAGCCAUGCCGCGUGUGUGAAGAAGGUCUUCGGAUUGUAAAGCACUUUAAGUUGGGAGGAAGGGCAGUAAAUUAAUACUUUGCUGUUUUGACGUUACCGACAGAAUAAGCACCGGCUAACUCUGUGCCAGCAGCCGCGGUAAUACAGAGGGUGCAAGCGUUAAUCGGAAUUACUGGGCGUAAAGCGCGCGUAGGUGGUUCGUUAAGUUGGAUGUGAAAUCCCCGGGCUCAACCUGGGAACUGCAUUCAAAACUGACGAGCUAGAGUAUGGUAGAGGGUGGUGGAAUUUCCUGUGUAGCGGUGAAAUGCGUAGAUAUAGGAAGGAACACCAGUGGCGAAGGCGACCACCUGGACUGAUACUGACACUGAGGUGCGAAAGCGUGG
Molecule: ribosomal RNA, 687 nt
Filed under: uncultured bacterium
Lineage: Bacteria
Description: bacterial SSU rRNA
Rfam family: Bacterial small subunit ribosomal RNA
Source: RNAcentral